This 222-nucleotide unclassified non-coding RNA is filed under the name Hevea brasiliensis (rubber tree). The record is from RNAcentral. Lineage: Eukaryota; Viridiplantae; Streptophyta; Magnoliopsida; Malpighiales; Euphorbiaceae.
AUUUUUUUUUUUUUUGAAAUCCAGAAGCUCAGAUUCUUGUAAGAUUCACCAAAAUAACAAACCCAAAAGUUCAAACAGCUUGAUUUUGAAGUGGGUCAUGGUAGAUUCAGGUUGCUGUAACACACAUGAUUGGUAUAUAUGCUUGAGGUAAAUGAAAGUCAGAUUUGGUUCGCUGUAUGCUAAGUUCUAUUCCCUUUGUCCUCUCUCUCUCUCUUUCUCUCU